GGCCUCCGCUGGGAACACACAAAGGCCAAGGCGGAGCAUCGUUUGCCUUGCCCAAAUCCUGCCGCAGAUGCCAAGGUUCAUAACAACAUAGAUCCUGCAAGUCUUGAGACGCUAGUGCAGGAGAAGAAAGACGAGCUGUUCCGUCUGCUACUUCAGAUGGAUCUUCACAAUGGCUCGUGUGAAAAAAGUGCCGAGGAGAACAAAGCCAUACUGAGGCUGCUUCGGCAAUUCCGUGCUGAGACGCGAGAUAAUGGUACCUUGUAAGUAGGCUCUA
This 274-nucleotide long non-coding RNA is filed under the name Oryza sativa tropical japonica subgroup. RNAcentral's name for it is "lncRNA OsCMeo_03g0041160". RNAcentral also lists the same sequence under 1 other name. The record is from RNAcentral. Lineage: Eukaryota; Viridiplantae; Streptophyta; Magnoliopsida; Poales; Poaceae.